RNAcentral lists this ribosomal RNA (17 nucleotides) under Pestalotiopsis microspora. RNAcentral describes it as "partial 18S ribosomal RNA". The record is from RNAcentral. Lineage: Eukaryota; Fungi; Ascomycota; Sordariomycetes; Amphisphaeriales; Sporocadaceae.
GUUGGUGACCAGCGGAG